This 65-nucleotide transfer RNA is filed under the name human gut metagenome. It matches the Rfam family "tRNA". From Rfam's summary of the family: Transfer RNA (tRNA) molecules are approximately 80 nucleotides in length. Their secondary structure includes four short double-helical elements and three loops (D, anti-codon, and T loops). The record is from RNAcentral. RNAcentral also lists the same sequence under 3 other names.
CCUGUAGCUCAGUGGAUAGAGCACCGGCCUCCGGAGCCGGGUGCGUAGGUUCGAUUCCUAUCAGG